Long non-coding RNA from Hyla sarda, 263 nucleotides. RefSeq lists it as uncharacterized. The transcript is spliced from 2 exons. NCBI's taxonomy places the organism in Eukaryota, Metazoa, Chordata, Amphibia, Anura, Hylidae. The record is from RefSeq and is a predicted model, not a curated record.
UGCCUUUUUAGGUUAACUGCAUUAUAAUGAUAGGUUGUGUAGUGUACCACUGCCAUCUAGUGGCAGAAGUUAAUAUCAGCUUUACUUACACAGAUAGUUUAUACAGACAGGAAGUGACCUUUGUUCCAGGAAGCUCUUCCACCAUCUUGAGGUCACUCUUUCACUGGGCAGGCAGCAUGUAUCUAUCUCUCCCAUGAGGUUUGGGACAUCAUCACCUUUUCACAGACUAAAAUAAAGUUGGAGUCCUCUGGUGGACAAUACAA